GACGAACGCUGGCGGCGUGCCUAAUACAUGCAAGUAGAACGCUGAAGAGAGGAGCUUGCUCUUCUUGGAUGAGUUGCGAACGGGUGAGUAACGCGUAGGUAACCUGCCUGGUAGCGGGGGAUAACUAUUGGAAACGAUAGCUAAUACCGCAUAAAAUGGAUUAUCGCAUGAUAAUCCAUUGAAAGGUGCAAAUGCAUCACUACCAGAUGGACCUGCGUUGUAUUAGCUAGUUGGUGGGGUAACGGCUCACCAAGGCGACGAUACAUAGCCGACCUGAGAGGGUGAUCGGCCACACUGGGACUGAGACACGGCCCAGACUCCUACGGGAGGCAGCAGUAGGGAAUCUUCGGCAAUGGACGGAAGUCUGACCGAGCAACGCCGCGUGAGUGAAGAAGGUUUUCGGAUCGUAAAGCUCUGUUGUAAGAGAAGAACGAGUGUGAGAGUGGAAAGUUCACACUGUGAUGGUAUCUUACCAGAAAGGGACGGCUAACUACGUG
Molecule: ribosomal RNA, 497 nt
Filed under: uncultured bacterium
Lineage: Bacteria
Description: partial 16S ribosomal RNA
Rfam family: Bacterial small subunit ribosomal RNA
Source: RNAcentral